Molecule: ribosomal RNA, 406 nt
Filed under: uncultured bacterium
Lineage: Bacteria
Description: partial 16S ribosomal RNA
Rfam family: Bacterial small subunit ribosomal RNA
Source: RNAcentral
AUUGAACGCUGGCGGCAGGCUUAACACAUGCAAGUCGAGCGAGCGGCGGACGGGUGAGUAAUGUCUGGGAAACUGCCUGAUGGAGGGGGAUAACUACUGGAAACGGUAGCUAAUACCGCAUACCAUCGGAUGUGCCCAUAUGGGAUUAGCUAGUAGGUGGGGUAAUGGCUCACCUAGGCGACGAUCCCUAGCUGGUCUGAGAGGACGACAAGCCACACUGGGACUGAGACACGGCCCAGACUCUUACGGGAGGCAGCAGUGGGGAACAUUGCACAAUGGGCUCAAGCCUGAUGCAGCCAUCCCGCGGUUGUGAAGAAGGCCUGCGGGUUGUAAAGCACUUUCAGCGAGGAGGCGUUACCCGCAGAAGAAGCACCGGCUAACUCCGUGCCAGCAGCCGCGGUAAUUC